AGGGUGUAAACGCUGCAGACUUGGUGUUGGAAGCCCUUUGGGGGGCGAUUCAGUGCCGGAGAGAAGUUGUUAAGUCUGCUACUUGGGGAGUACGUCCGCAAGGAUGAAACUUAAAGGAAUUGGCGGGGGAGGCACCGCAACGGGAGGAGCGUGCGGUUUAAUUGGAUUCAACACCGUAAAACUCACCAGGGAAGACUGUUACAUGAAGGCCGAGAUGAAGACUCUGCUAGAUUUUCAGAGAGGUGGUGCAUGGCGUCAGUGACU
Molecule: ribosomal RNA, 264 nt
Filed under: uncultured archaeon
Lineage: Archaea
Description: partial 16S ribosomal RNA
Rfam family: Archaeal small subunit ribosomal RNA
Source: RNAcentral